This 60-nucleotide microRNA precursor is filed under the name Otolemur garnettii (small-eared galago). RNAcentral describes it as "miRNA (ENSOGAG00000023541.2)". Lineage: Eukaryota; Metazoa; Chordata; Mammalia; Primates; Galagidae. The record is from RNAcentral.
UAGCUGAGGACGUGUGUGUGUGUGUGUGUGUGUGUGUGUGCGCGCGUGCACGCACAUGCA